RNAcentral lists this ribosomal RNA (469 nucleotides) under uncultured bacterium. RNAcentral's name for it is "partial 16S ribosomal RNA". It matches the Rfam family "Bacterial small subunit ribosomal RNA", at positions 29 to 523 of the family's 1533-position model. The record is from RNAcentral.
AACAAACGCUGGCGGCGUGCCUAAUACAUGCAAGUCGAACGAGGUAGCAAUACCUAGUGGCGCACGGGUGAGUAACGCGUGGAUAAUCUGCCUUUGAGUGGGGGAUAACUAGUCGAAAGAUUAGCUAAUACCGCAUAAGGCCACAGGAACUGAGGUUCUAGGGGUUAAAGGUUUUUCGCUCAUAGAUGAGUCCGAGUGGGAUUAGCUAGUUGGUGAGGUAACGGCUCACCAAGGCGACGAUCUCUAACUGGUCUGAGAGGAUGAUCAGUCACACUGAAAAUGAGACACGGUCCAACCUCCUACGGGAGGCAGCAGUAGGGAAUAUUGCACAAUGGAGGAAACUCUGAUGCAGCGACGCCGCGUGGGUGAUGAAGGCUUUCGGGUCGUAAAGUUCUGUCGCAGGGGAAUAACACAAUGAAUGUACCCUGUAAGAAAGGAUCGGCUAACUUCGUGCCAGCAGCCGCCGUAA